AAUAUACCACCUCCGUUUGAAAAUAAUUGUUCUAUAGAUGAAUAUAUCUAGACUUAUUUUGGUUAUAGAUACAUCCAUUAUAUCCAUUUCUAGGACAAGUAUUUCCGGACGGAGGGAGUACCAG
Molecule: non-coding RNA, 124 nt
Organism: Hordeum vulgare subsp. vulgare (domesticated barley)
Lineage: Eukaryota; Viridiplantae; Streptophyta; Magnoliopsida; Poales; Poaceae
Source: Rfam